Molecule: ribosomal RNA, 497 nt
Filed under: uncultured bacterium
Lineage: Bacteria
Description: partial 16S ribosomal RNA
Rfam family: Bacterial small subunit ribosomal RNA
Source: RNAcentral
GAUGAACGCUGGCGGCGUGCCUAAUACAUGCAAGUCGAGCGAACAGAUGAGGAGCUUGCUCCUCUGACGUUAGCGGCGGACGGGUGAGUAACACGUGGAUAACCUACCUAUAAGACUGGGAUAACUUCGGGAAAACGGAGCUAAUACCGGAUAAUAUAUUGAACCGCAUGGUUCAAUAGUGAAAGACGGUUUUGCUGUCACUUAUAGAUGGAUCCGCGCCGCAUUAGCUAGUUGGUAAGGUAACGGCUUACCAAGGCAACGAUGCGUAGCCGACCUGAGAGGGUGAUCGGCCACACUGGAACGGAGACACGGUCCAGACUCCUACGGGAGGCAGCAGUAGGGAAUCUUCCGCAGUGGGCGAAAGCCUGACGGAGCAACGCCGCGUGAGUGAUGAAGGUCUUCGGAUCGUAAAACUCUGUUAUUAGGGAAGAACAAAUGUGUAAGUAACUAUGCACGUCUUGACGGUACCUAAUCAGAAAGCCACGGCUAACUACGUG